This 465-nucleotide ribosomal RNA is filed under the name Vreelandella stevensii. Its description in RNAcentral is "partial 16S ribosomal RNA". It matches the Rfam family "Bacterial small subunit ribosomal RNA", at positions 338 to 795 of the family's 1533-position model. The record is from RNAcentral. Lineage: Bacteria; Pseudomonadati; Pseudomonadota; Gammaproteobacteria; Oceanospirillales; Halomonadaceae.
CCUACGGUGGCUGCAGUGGGGAAUAUUGGACAAUGGGCGAAAGCCUGAUCCAGCCAUGCCGCGUGUGUGAAGAAGGCCUUCGGGUUGUAAAGCACUUUCAGUGGGGAAGAAAGCCUUGGGGCUAAUACCCUCGAGGAAGGACAUCACCCACAGAAGAAGCACCGGCUAACUCCGUGCCAGCAGCCGCGGUAAUACAGGAGGGUGCGAGCGUUAAUCGGAAUUACUGGGCGUAAAGCGCGCGUAGGCGGUCUGAUAAGCCGGUUGUGAAAGCCCCGGGCUCAACCUGGGAACGGCAUCCGGAACUGUCAGGCUAGAGUGCAGGAGAGGAAGGUAGAAUUCCCGGUGUAGCGGUGAAAUGCGUAGAGAUCGGGAGGAAUACCAGUGGCGAAGGCGGCCUUCUGGACUGACACUGACGCUGAGGUGCGAAAGCGUGGGUAGCAAACAGGAUUAGAUACCCGAGUAGUC